This 497-nucleotide ribosomal RNA is filed under the name uncultured bacterium. RNAcentral describes it as "partial 16S ribosomal RNA". It matches the Rfam family "Bacterial small subunit ribosomal RNA", at positions 28 to 507 of the family's 1533-position model. The record is from RNAcentral.
GAUGAACGCUGGCGGCGUGCCUAAUACAUGCAAGUCGAGCGAACAGACGAGGAGCUUGCUCCUCUGACGUUAGCGGCGGACGGGUGAGUAACACGUGGAUAACCUACCUAUAAGACUGGGAUAACUUCGGGAAACCGGAGCUAAUACCGGAUAAUAUAUUGAACCGCAUGGUUCAAUAGUGAAAGACGGUUUUGCUGUCACUUAUAGAUGGAUCCGCGCCGCAUUAGCUAGUUGGUAAGGUAACGGCUUACCAAGGCAACGAUGCGUAGCCGACCUGAGAGGGUGAUCGGCCACACUGGAACUGAGACACGGUCCAGACGCCUACGGGAGGCAGCAGUAGGGAAUCUUCCGCAAUGGGCGAAAGCUUGACGGAGCAACGCCGCGUGAGUGAUGAAGGUCUUCGGAUCGUAAAACUCUGUUAUUAGGGGAGAACAAAUGUGUAAGUAACUAUGCACGUCUUGACGGUACCUAAUCAGAAAGCCACGGCUAACUACGUG